UUGAUUGGUCGAAAGACCUUCUCAGAUUCUACCACCUCUGUGAACCGUUGACCUCCGGGUUAAUAAUCAAACAUCAGUGUAACGAACGUAAGAGUAUCUUAAUUAAACA
RNAcentral lists this unclassified non-coding RNA (109 nucleotides) under soil metagenome. Its description in RNAcentral is "partial internal transcribed spacer 1". The record is from RNAcentral.